CUGAAACCGUGUACGUACAAGCAGUGGGAGCACAGGUUUACCUGUGUGACUGCGUACCUUUUGUAUAAUGGGUCAGCGACUUAUAUUCUGUAGCAAGGUUAACCGAAUAGGGGAGCCGGAGGGAAACCGAGUCUUAAUUGGGCGUUAAGUUGCAGGGUAUAGACCCGAAACCCGGUGAUCUAGCCAUGGGCAGGUUGAAGGUUGGGUAACACUAACUGGAGGACCGAACCGACUAAUGUUGAAAAAUUAGCGGAUGACCUGUGGCUGGGGGUGAAAGGCCAAUCAAACCGGGAGAUAGCUGGUUCUCCCCGAAAGCUAUUUAGGUAGCGCCUCGUGAAUUCAUCUCCGGGGGUAGAGCACUGUUUCGGCUAGGGGGCCAUCCCGGCUUACCAACCCGAUGCAAACUGCGAAUACCGGAGAAUGUUAUCACGGGAGACACACGGCGGGUGCUAACGUCCGUCGUGAAGAGGGAAACAACCCAGACCGCCAGCUAAGGUCCCAAAGUCAUGGUUAAGUGGGAAACGAUGUGGGAAGGCCCAGACAGCCAGGAUGUUGGCUUAGAAGCAGCCAUCAUUUAAAGAAAGCGUAAUAGCUCACUGGUCGAGUCGGCCUGCGCGGAAGAUGUAACGGGGCUAAACCAUGCACCGAAGCUGCGGCAGCGAACGUAUCACCCAAGACAACUUUACGGAGUUGACGAUUGACGGAGCGAAGCGACGUCAAAGCGUUCAUUAAAGUCGAGUUGGCUUAGGGAUACGUUCGUUGGGUAGGGGAGCGUUCUGUAAGCCUGUGAAGGUGUGUCGUGAGGCAUGCUGGAGGUAUCAGAAGUGCGAAUGCUGACAUAAGUAACGAUAAAGCGGGUGAAAAGCCCGCUCGCCGGAAGACCAAGGGUUCCUGUCCAACGUUAAUCGGGGCAGGGUGAGUCGACCCCUAAGGCGAGGCCGAAAGGCGUAGUCGAUGGGAAACGGGUUAAUAUUCCCGUACUUGGUGUUACUGCGAAGGGGGGACGGAGAAGGCUAUGUUGGCCGGGCGACGGUUGUCCCGGUUUAAGCGUGUAGGUGUGUGUUCCAGGUAAAUCCGGUUCACUUUAACACUGAGGCGUGAUGACGAGGCACUACGGUGCUGAAGCAACAAAUGCCCUGCUUCCAGGAAAAGCCUCUAAGCAUCAGGUAACAUCAAAUCGUACCCCAAACCGACA
RNAcentral lists this ribosomal RNA (1195 nucleotides) under Salmonella enterica subsp. enterica. RNAcentral describes it as "partial 23S ribosomal RNA". It matches the Rfam family "Bacterial large subunit ribosomal RNA", at positions 550 to 1659 of the family's 2925-position model. Lineage: Bacteria; Pseudomonadati; Pseudomonadota; Gammaproteobacteria; Enterobacterales; Enterobacteriaceae. The record is from RNAcentral.